CAGCCGCCGCGGGAAUACGUAGGUCCCGAGCGUUGUCCGGAUUUAUUGGGCGUAAAGCGAGCGCAGGCGGUUAGAUAAGUCUGAAGUUAAAGGCUGUGGCUUAACCAUAGUACGCUUUGGAAACUGUUUAACUUGAGUGCAAGAGGGGAGAGUGGAAUUCCAUGUGUAGCGGUGAAAUGCGUAGAUAUAUGGAGGAACACCGGUGGCGAAAGCGGCUCUCUGGCUUGUAACUGACGCUGAGGCUCGAAAGCGUGGGGAGCAAACAGGAUUAGAUACCCGCGUAGUCCCUGUCUCUUAUACA
RNAcentral lists this ribosomal RNA (301 nucleotides) under uncultured bacterium. RNAcentral describes it as "partial 16S ribosomal RNA". It matches the Rfam family "Bacterial small subunit ribosomal RNA", at positions 509 to 808 of the family's 1533-position model. The record is from RNAcentral.